Molecule: long non-coding RNA, 2659 nt
Organism: Bombina bombina (fire-bellied toad)
Lineage: Eukaryota; Metazoa; Chordata; Amphibia; Anura; Bombinatoridae
Exons: 6
Source: RefSeq, a predicted model, not a curated record
AGCAGGUAUACAUAAUGAUUGCUCAAACAAAUUGUGCAUACUGGAUCCACUGAAUAUUUCAUAAAAAUGCCAGAGCUCAUUAACUAAAGAUCGACUAUAUACUCUUAUUUAUAUACCAUUACCUCUGCUGAUUUUCGUUUCAGUACUGGUUUGGCUUUCUGCAACAUGUAGAUGAGUGUCCUGGGAAGGGGUUGUAACAUUGUAUCUGCACCAGUGUUUAAAUACCUGUUCAGUUGUCUAAUCUGACACAUCUGAUGAAGCCCUGAGUUCAGCCCGGAAAGGGGGAGGGGCGAAAUGCGUAAUGCUUUGAACAAGACACAGUGUGGAGGAAGCCAGCAUGGUGGAAGCGCUGUGAAUUUGGCGAUAUCGAUUCCAAGUGUUUGGGCAAGUGAAGAGCUGCAUUGGCCACAUACAUCGCAGUGAGACACACGGCAGAUGAGAUCCUGUCAGUGUACUUAAUGUCGAACAGUUGGGAAGAAAGUUUCUCCACAAAGGAAUAGUGGAUGAGAGAGAUGAAAAACAGAAAAUAAAUUAAAGCAGGGGAAGCUCCCAGAUCCAAUUAAGAGACCCAAUUUACACACCAACAAAUCCCCAAGUAUUGGAAUAAACGCUUUACACUUCACUUUCACUCCACUAACGAUAAAAAAAAGGAGGGGUUUCUAUUCUGAUACACAACUCACUGAAUUUCAUGGUAGACAAAGAAGACUCAUAAUACCAUAGGUCCAAAAACGACCCAUACCUCCAAGCAAAAGGGGAUGAUAAAAGAGGACUGCAAUUUCUCUAUGUACAAUCUAAACAAUCAGAUAUGUUGAUAAUAUUUGAUAUAACGUUUGUACUACACACUGUAACUGAACCUAUUAUUUUGUCCUUAAUAAAAAUGUAAAUAUAAAAAAAAUAUCUAGGAGAAGGAAUAAAGGUAAAUGGAGAAAAGGUAGCUUCUCUUGGUAGGGCCGAAUGUCGGCUAUCAAGAUGAACAUACUGCCUAGGUUACUGUACCUUUUUAAGAGCACUUCAAAUUAAAAUACCUCAGAAAGAACUAAGAGACCUGCAAGCUGAACUGUUAGGUUCCUUCAAGGCACUAAAACAGCGCAAAUAGCCUCAUAUCUUAAAACAACAUAAACAGGUAGGGGGAGUAGAAGUACCCAACUUACUGGACUACUAUCAGGCUGCUAGGUUAUCACAAAUCACAUUACUAGGCAAAAAUUACCAAGGAAUUGCUUGGACUAAAAUUGAAGCUGAUAUAGCGGGACUACAUAAACCUGGGGAUAUCAUAUGGGAUCCAGCAACCAAAACAAACUAUUAUAUAAACUACAAAUUAUGGAGGAAUCCAAAUAUUUAUGGAAAUGUCUUACUAACUCACUAAAAUUGAUUCCCAAAGCUACCUCGAUGGCUCCAGUGGGAACCCUGCCCCCCCCCCCCCCUGACUCUCAAAGACACAUUAAUAAAUGGGAAAAUAAAGGAUUAUACAGAGUGGCAGACUUUUUAGACAGGGGAAAAAUGAUGACAUUCAAUCAGUUAAUGGACAAAAUACAACCUGAUAAUCUACACUGGUACCUUUACCUUCAGAUUUCUAAUGCCAUAACAAGAUACAUUCAAAAUCACACUACUCUACCACACACUACCUUGGAAAAUGAUGUACUACCCCUGUUAGAAAUAAAAAAAAUUAUUACACAGCUCUACCUAGCUUUACAAGAAGCUAAACACAAUACAACAACGACACAAAAAUGGGAACAAGACCUUGGCGAAACAUUUAGCAGAGACAAGUGGGCAAGAUUUUUCUCUAGAUCCAGUAAAGGCCUGAUUAGCGCAGACCUCAAAGAAAAUUCCAUUAAAACUUCCUUUAGGUGGUAUCUUACACCAUUAAAAACAUCACACUACUCUACACAACAUAAAAGACUGUGCUAUAGAGGGUGUGCCAACAUUCUAGAUUAUAUUCAUAUGUGGUGGGAAUGCCCAAAAAUAAAACCGGAACAAAGGAUCAAAAAUGUUAAGCAUAAUCCUAGACCAAUCAAUCUCUUUAUCUGCCUCCCAAGCCGUGUUACACAUACCCGAGAAGUCACUAAAUUCUACCACUAAUACUUUCAUUAGAAUCAUCUGCACUGCAGCCAGACUAUGUAUCGCUAGAUACUGAAAACAAGCUCCCCGUCAUGGCACAGAGGUAUUAAAGGGACAGUUCACCCAAAAAGGUUCUCCCAUUUAAAUUGUUCCCAAUGAUCCAUUUUACCUGCUAGAGUGUAUUAAAUUGUUAACAAGUAGCUCCUUUACCCCUAUGUUGGCCUUUGAAAUAUCUGAUUUAGCUUGUGGUUUCCAAGCCUAUACUGAAAGUUUGUAUACUGGAGUCUCAGAUAUUGAAUAGUGUAAGUAAACACAGCCAGCAGAAGAAAUUAAACUCACAGUGAGGGUGCAGGGUAGUUAAGUAAUACAAUUAUAAUUUUCCAUUGUUCUCUCUAAGUUUUGAGCUUUGGUUUUCCAGACAAAUAUAAGAUAAGGAAGCAAGUGUGUGUACACAAACUGAUAACAUAAUGAGAUAUAUUACCUGAAACUCAACCCAUUGUAAUAGGCUGUGGUUUAAAAGCACAAAACCAGUUACUUCAUAUACACAUUUUAUACGCUGCAGCUGGUAGAACAAGUUAUUAAAAAUACAUUAAUAUAAAAACAA